This 404-nucleotide ribosomal RNA is filed under the name uncultured bacterium. Its description in RNAcentral is "bacterial SSU rRNA". It matches the Rfam family "Bacterial small subunit ribosomal RNA", at positions 355 to 775 of the family's 1533-position model. The record is from RNAcentral.
UGAGGAAUAUUGCCCAAUGGACGCAAGUCUGAGGCAGCAACGCCGCGUGCGCGAUGAAGGCCUUCGGGUUGUAAAGCGCUUUCCUGGGGGAAGAGGAAGGACGGUACCUCAGGGAUAAGUCACGGCUAACUACGCGCCAGCAGCCGCGGUAAUACGUAGGUGGCCAGCGUUAUCCGGAUUUACUGGGCGUAAAGCGCGUGCAGGCGGUUUCGUAAGUCGGACGUGAAAGCUCCUGGCUUAACUGGGAGAGCGCAUUCGAUACUGCGAGGCUUGAGGUCGGGAGAGGGACGUGGAAUUCCCGGUGUAGUGGUGGAAUGCGUAGGUAUCGGGAGGAACACCAGUGGCGAAGGCGGCGUCCUGGCCCGCACCUGACGCUGAGACGCGAAAGCGUGGGUAGCGAACGG